RNAcentral lists this transfer RNA (66 nucleotides) under Anastrepha ornata. Its description in RNAcentral is "tRNA-Ile". Lineage: Eukaryota; Metazoa; Arthropoda; Insecta; Diptera; Tephritidae. The record is from RNAcentral.
AAUGAAUUGCCUGAUGAAAAGGGUUACCUUGAUAGGGUAAAUUAUGUAAUAACUUUACAUUCAUUA